AUAUAUAUAUAAGAUACAACAUUAGGGUUAGGUUUAUAUAUCAAGUCAUUUAUAACUAAUGGGCCAUAUAAUAGGCAUCCACAUAUUUUACAAUAUUAUUCAUAACACUCUGCCUUGGAUGACUAUUAUGAAAAUGUGGUCUCAAAUGUGCAUGUGAGACGAUGAUGCCUCGUUA
Molecule: small RNA, 175 nt
Filed under: Arabidopsis thaliana (thale cress)
Lineage: Eukaryota; Viridiplantae; Streptophyta; Magnoliopsida; Brassicales; Brassicaceae
Description: ATSL087320
Source: RNAcentral